Molecule: long non-coding RNA, 698 nt
Filed under: Fukomys damarensis (Damara mole-rat)
Lineage: Eukaryota; Metazoa; Chordata; Mammalia; Rodentia; Bathyergidae
Description: lncRNA (ENSFDAG00000027429.1)
Source: RNAcentral
GCCCUCGUGGCUCGCAGCGUCCCAUGGGCAGUCACAAAGGCCAAGGAGCUGCAGGUUAAGGCAACAAUGCAGCCUCAGCUCUCCCCCAUUGUGCCCAGCAGCCGCAGUGCUCACGGAGCCGUCGGGGGUCUUACAUAUCUCAUACGUGCAGCAAAGUGGGGGAACAAUGUGACAAAUUAUGAACAAGCUCUGAGCAGAGGCUGUGGAAUUCUUCCUUUUGUCAGCUUCUGUCACGUGUCAGCUGGGCUGCUGGGCCGGAGGAGGACAAGGGUGGGGGACAUCACAGGAGCAGGAGGCCAGCCCAGGGCUGGGGACAACACUGCUCAUUAUGCUGCAUGCACAUUCUGACUCUAGUUUUUCCUUUUGGAUCUAAGUAUUCUAUCUAAAUGUCAACACUAUUAGUUCCUAAAGAUCCCAGCAAACUUUUUUGCGGUCCCUUCUCUCAAGGGUCAAGUACAAAACAGCUCUGUGAUAUUCGUGAUCAAACCUGGACAUCACACUUCUUGCUCUUCUCUUCCGGGUGCCUUGAUUUCCUCAUCUGUAAAGAAAGCACCUGUUUAAACCAAUGUGCCUUCAAAUCUCUGCACAGAUCAGAAGAUGCAGCCAGUAACUGGACAGAGGCCACUUCAUGGUGGAGCCAGUCUUGCAAUGGGGUGCUCAAGGAAAGAUUAAGAAGUAAAAGAGACAGAUUGGAAUGA